Long non-coding RNA from Papaver somniferum (opium poppy), 601 nucleotides. RefSeq lists it as uncharacterized. The record is from RefSeq and is a predicted model, not a curated record. NCBI's taxonomy places the organism in Eukaryota, Viridiplantae, Streptophyta, Magnoliopsida, Ranunculales, Papaveraceae. The transcript is spliced from 2 exons.
AAUAAAAUGAGUCUUCAAUGGCUACCCCACCAAUUACUACUUGACACCCCAACUUUUCUAAAAGUAGAUGCGUCUUUGUUACCUCGGUUCCAUUCAAUUGACCAAAAUGCGCAGGGAAAGGAUACUCUGUAAUAUAGGCAGGCAUCUAUAACAAGGACGACUCGUAUCAUUAUUAGAAGACCGGAGAUCAAGUCAUAAUAUGGAUUUUUUUUACGAGGAAACAUUCUAUAUGGAUUUAGGGCUUUAUUUGAAACAAUUGGUGCUUUAUGGAGUAAACUAGGCUGCUAGAGAGGCCAGACAAGGCAGAGAGAGUAGAACUUAUUAACUUUAUGGGACGAGAGCUGCCGCAAGCACCCAACUCAGCACCAAAGUUCUUGCAGCAGAACAAAGGUCUGAAUCCGUUUUCCCUCCAAAUUUCUCUUAUUUCGUACUUUCCACAACACCCGUAUACUACAGCUUAUGGAAUGAAGCUUCACACAACUUUUCCUGCAGGUGAUAAGCCAAGUGGGGACCACGACCAAGCUAUCUAUUAGGGAAAACCCAUGCCCAACCUUCAUUUUGAGUAAGGGAAGACCAAACUUCGUUACAAUAUGAUGAUACA